ACGCUCGACACCUACGUGAGGCAGCAGUGGGGAAUAUUGCACAAUGGGGGAAACCCUGAUGCAGCGACGCCGCGUGAGCGAAGAAGUAUUUCGGUAUGUAAAGCUCUAUCAGCAGGGAAGAAACUGACGGUACCUGACUAAGAAGCACCGGCUAAAUACGUGCCAGCGCGCGAGUACUNGCGGCGUGNGAGACG
RNAcentral lists this ribosomal RNA (194 nucleotides) under uncultured bacterium. RNAcentral describes it as "partial 16S ribosomal RNA". It matches the Rfam family "Bacterial small subunit ribosomal RNA", at positions 328 to 538 of the family's 1533-position model. The record is from RNAcentral.